Molecule: transfer RNA, 69 nt
Filed under: Alistipes onderdonkii
Lineage: Bacteria; Pseudomonadati; Bacteroidota; Bacteroidia; Bacteroidales; Rikenellaceae
Also listed under: 1 other name
Description: tRNA-Ile
Rfam family: tRNA
About the family: Transfer RNA (tRNA) molecules are approximately 80 nucleotides in length. Their secondary structure includes four short double-helical elements and three loops (D, anti-codon, and T loops). Further hydrogen bonds mediate the characteristic L-shaped molecular structure. tRNAs have two regions of fundamental functional importance: the anti-codon, which is responsible for specific mRNA codon recognition, and the 3' end, to which the tRNAs corresponding amino acid is attached (by aminoacyl-tRNA synthetases). tRNAs cope with the degeneracy of the genetic code in two manners: having more than one tRNA (with a specific anti-codon) for a particular amino acid; and 'wobble' base-pairing, i.e. permitting non-standard base-pairing at the 3rd anti-codon position.
Source: RNAcentral
GUCGCCGUAGCUCAAUCGGAAGAGCGCAUGAUAUCAAUGAGGUUGCGGGUUCGAGUCCCGCCGGCGACA